GCCCUUUAAAGAAAGUGCUCCUAUGUGGCACACAAAUGCCCUUUUUCCUCACUGUACAGUUUUUCCUGGUGGCUUGUCUCAUUUCCUAUGUAUGCUGCGUGCUCUUUGCUUGUUUCUUACAGAGACUUAAAAUGACACCUUGUUUAAAAGAAAUCAGGCAGUAUGCACGUAUUAAAACAAGCGGAUCCAAGGAAGAAGAAACAUUCCCAGAGCUGAUUAAUCUUACAAAGUGCAAAGAGGGAUUGAGUGUCUCUCAAGCAAGAGAAAAGAUUGUUCAUCCACAAGAGAGAGUCAAAUAAAAGCAUCAAAUUUUUGAAAAAUCAA
Long non-coding RNA from Felis catus (domestic cat), 324 nucleotides. RefSeq lists it as uncharacterized. The transcript is spliced from 2 exons. NCBI's taxonomy places the organism in Eukaryota, Metazoa, Chordata, Mammalia, Carnivora, Felidae. The record is from RefSeq and is a predicted model, not a curated record.